This 32-nucleotide small RNA is filed under the name Arabidopsis thaliana (thale cress). RNAcentral's name for it is "ATSL144820". The record is from RNAcentral. Lineage: Eukaryota; Viridiplantae; Streptophyta; Magnoliopsida; Brassicales; Brassicaceae.
UACAGAGAGCAGAUCGGCUUGGAGGACUGACG